This 328-nucleotide ribosomal RNA is filed under the name uncultured eukaryote. RNAcentral describes it as "partial 18S ribosomal RNA". It matches the Rfam family "Eukaryotic small subunit ribosomal RNA", at positions 1470 to 1796 of the family's 1831-position model. The record is from RNAcentral.
CCCUUAGAUGCUCUGGGCCGCACGCGCGUUACACUGAUGCAUUCAACGAGCUUAUAACCUUGGCCGAGAGGCCUGGGCAAUCUUGUUAACGUGCAUCGUGAUAGGGAUAGAUUAUUGAAAUUAUUAAUCUUGAACGAGGAAUUCCUAGUAAACGCAGAUCAUCAAUCUGCAUUGAUUACGUCCCUGCCCUUUGUACACACCGCCCGUCGCACCUACCGAUUGGAUGGUCCGGUGAAGCCUCGGGAUUGUGGUUCUUGCCGCUUUAUUGUGGCGUGACCGCGAGAACUUGUCUAAACCUUAUCAUCUAGAGGAAGGUGAAGUCGUAACA